Molecule: ribosomal RNA, 41 nt
Filed under: Ficus erecta
Lineage: Eukaryota; Viridiplantae; Streptophyta; Magnoliopsida; Rosales; Moraceae
Description: partial 28S ribosomal RNA
Source: RNAcentral
CAACGCGACCCCAGGGUCAGGCGGGGCUACCCGCUGAGUUU